Molecule: ribosomal RNA, 578 nt
Filed under: uncultured bacterium
Lineage: Bacteria
Description: bacterial SSU rRNA
Rfam family: Bacterial small subunit ribosomal RNA
Source: RNAcentral
ACGGGUGAGUAACACGUGAGUAACCUGCCCUUGACUCUGGGAUAAGCCUGGGAAACUGGGUCUAAUACCGGAUAUGACCUUCCAUCGCAUGGUGGUUGGUGGAAAGCUUUUGUGGUUUUGGAUGGACUCGCGGCCUAUCAGCUUGUUGGUGGGGUAAUGGCCUACCAAGGCGACGACGGGUAGCCGGCCUGAGAGGGUGACCGGCCACACUGGGACUGAGACACGGCCCAGACUCCUACGGGAGGCAGCAGUGGGGAAUAUUGCACAAUGGGCGCAAGCCUGAUGCAGCGACGCCGCGUGAGGGAUGACGGCCUUCGGGUUGUAAACCUCUUUCAGUAGGGAAGAAGCGUAAGUGACGGUACCUGUAGAAGAAGCGCCGGCUAACUACGUGCCAGCAGCCGCGGUAAUACGUAGGGCGCAAGCGUUAUCCGGAAUUAUUGGGCGUAAAGAGCUCGUAGGCGGUUUGUCGCGUCUGCCGUGAAAGUCCGGGGCUCAACUCCGGAUCUGCGGUGGGUACGGGCAGACUAGAGUGAUGUAGGGGAGACUGGAAUUCCUGGUGUAGCGGUGAAAUGCGCAGA